UACGUAGGGUGCAAGCGUUAAUCGGAAUUACUGGGCGUAAAGCGUGCGCAGGCGGUUAUAUAAGACAGAUGUGAAAUCCCCGGGCUCAACCUGGGAACUGCAUUUGUGACUGCAAAGCUGGAGUGCGGCAGAGGGGGAUGGAAUUCCGCGUGUAGCAGUGAAAUGCGUAGAUAUGCGGAGGAACACCGAUGGCGAAGGCAAUCCCCUGGGCCUGCACUGACGCUCAUGCACGAAAGCGUGGGGAGCAAACAGG
RNAcentral lists this ribosomal RNA (253 nucleotides) under uncultured bacterium. RNAcentral describes it as "partial 16S ribosomal RNA". It matches the Rfam family "Bacterial small subunit ribosomal RNA", at positions 524 to 776 of the family's 1533-position model. The record is from RNAcentral.